Molecule: ribosomal RNA, 499 nt
Filed under: uncultured bacterium
Lineage: Bacteria
Description: partial 16S ribosomal RNA
Rfam family: Bacterial small subunit ribosomal RNA
Source: RNAcentral
GACGAACGCUGGCGGCGUGCCUAAUACAUGCAAGUCGAGCGGACCAACCAGGAGCUUGCUCUUGUUUGGUUAGCGGCGGACGGGUGAGUAACACGUGGGUAACCUGCCCGUAAGACCGGGAUAACUCCGGGAAACCGGAGCUAAUACCGGAUAACACCGAAGACCGCAUGGUCUUUGGUUGAAAGGCGGCUUCGGCUGCCACUUACGGAUGGGCCCGCGGCGCAUUAGCUAGUUGGUGAGGUAACGGCUCACCAAGGCGACGAUGCGUAGCCGGCCUGAGAGGGUGACCGGCCACACUGGGACUGAGACACGGCCCAGACUCCUACGGGAGGCAGCAGUAGGGAAUCUUCCGCAAUGGACGAAAGUCUGACGGAGCGACGCCGCGUGAGCGAAGAAGGUCUUCGGAUCGUAAAGCCCUGUUGUUAGGGAAGAAGAAGCGCCGUUCGAACAGGGCGGCGCGGUGACGGUACCUAACGAGAAAGCCCCGGCUAACUACGUG